AGCAGCCGCGGUAAUUCCAGCUCCAAUAGCGUAUAUUAAAGUUGUUGCAGUUAAAAAGCUCGUAGUUGAAUUUCGAGAUCAGUACGCUGGUCGUGCCUUUGGUAUGCACUGGUGUCACUGGUUUCUCCCUUCUGAAGAACUGCCAUGCCAUUCAGUUGGUGUGGCGGGGAAUCAGGACUGUUACUUUGAAAAAAUUAGAGUGUUUAGAGCAGGCUUGCGCUUGAAUACAUUAGCAUGGAAUAAUGAAAUAGGACGUUUGACCCUAUUUUGUUGGUUUCUAGGAUCGACGUAAUGAUUAAUAGGGAUAGUUGGGGGCAUUAGUAUUCAAUUGUCAGAGGUGAAAUUCUUGGAUUUAUUGAAGACUAACUACUGCGAAAGCAUUUGCCAAGGAUGUUUUCAUUAAUCAAGAACGAAAGUUAGGGGAUCGAAGACGAUCAGAUACCGUCGUAGUCUUAACCAUAAACUAUGCCGACUAGGGAUCGGAUGAUGU
This 490-nucleotide ribosomal RNA is filed under the name uncultured Glomus. Its description in RNAcentral is "SSU rRNA". It matches the Rfam family "Eukaryotic small subunit ribosomal RNA", at positions 569 to 1063 of the family's 1831-position model. Lineage: Eukaryota; Fungi; Glomeromycota; Glomeromycetes; Glomerales; Glomeraceae. The record is from RNAcentral.